This 463-nucleotide ribosomal RNA is filed under the name Syncope antenori (Ecuador silent frog). RNAcentral's name for it is "partial 16S ribosomal RNA". It matches the Rfam family "Bacterial large subunit ribosomal RNA", at positions 1816 to 2511 of the family's 2925-position model. The record is from RNAcentral. Lineage: Eukaryota; Metazoa; Chordata; Amphibia; Anura; Microhylidae.
CGCCUUUUGACAAACAUAAAAGGUCUAGCCUGCCCAGUGACAAAGUUAAACGGCCGCGGUACCCUAACCGUGCAAAGGUAGCACAAUCACUUGUUCUCUAAAUAAGGACUAGUAUGAACGGCAUCACGAGGAUUAUGCUGUCUCCCCCCUUUAAUCAGUGAAACUGAUCCCCCCGUGAAGAAGCGGGAAUAAACUUACAAGACGAGAAGACCCUGUGGAGCUUCAAACUAACACCACCCACCUUAAAAUACACCAUAACAAACAGAUGGACCUGCGUACUAGUUUUAGGUUGGGGCGACCGCGGAGUAAAACUAAACCUCCAUGAUGAAAGACUUUACUUUCUAAUCCUAGAGCAACACCUCAAAGAAUCAACAAACUGACAUAUUGACCCAAUAAAUUGAUCAACGAACCAAGUUACCCCAGGGAUAACAGCGCAAUCCACUUCGAGAGCUCAUAUCGACAA